UACGUAGGGAGCGAGCGUUGUCCGGAAUUACUGGGUGUAAAGGGAGUGCAGGCGGGACUGCAAGUCAGAUGUGAAAUUUAGGGGCUCAACCCCUCAAACUGCAUUUGAAACUGUGGUUCUUGAGUGAAGUAGAGGUAAGCGGAAUUCCAAGUGUAGCGGUGAAAUGCGUAGAUAUUUGGAGGAACAUCAGUGGCGAAGGCGGCUUACUGGGCUUUAACUGACGCUGAGGCUCGAAAGCGUGGGGAGCAAA
This 250-nucleotide ribosomal RNA is filed under the name uncultured prokaryote. RNAcentral's name for it is "partial 16S ribosomal RNA". It matches the Rfam family "Bacterial small subunit ribosomal RNA", at positions 524 to 772 of the family's 1533-position model. The record is from RNAcentral.